Molecule: long non-coding RNA, 490 nt
Organism: Salvia splendens (bonfire salvia)
Lineage: Eukaryota; Viridiplantae; Streptophyta; Magnoliopsida; Lamiales; Lamiaceae
Exons: 2
Source: RefSeq, a predicted model, not a curated record
GCCAUAAUUUCCUUUCCUAUUCUCUCACGCAGACUCGCAACCUCUUCACACCACGCAGCCCUAAGCGCUUCCCUUCCCACUGGCCGCUACUCCGUCACAGACCCGCGCCUCCGGAUAGAAGGGAGAAGCAGAGCCGCCAGCUCGCCUGCGUUGCUUUCACCUUCGGCUUUCGCAAUCUCCGCGCCUCCAGCCCGCCUACGUUGCUGUCCUCCUCCAUUCCCUAUAGCUCAGGUGAGACCCUAUUACCAUUUAUGGUAAAAGUGAACUGACACUUCUGUUCGCGGACAAAUAAAAUGGAAAAACGGGACUCCUAUUCGCGGACGGAGGGAGAGCUCGGCGGAAAGCUCAACAAAGAGAGGAGGAGCGCCGAUGUUUCAAUUCUUAGUUAGGAAAGUGUAAUACCCAUUUUUAUUUCUAUCAUUUUAAGUUAAGAUUUUUGUUUUGAGAACGAGCGAGUGAUACACCUUGAAUAAAAUAACGUGUUUGUCUC